UGUAGCUGGAAGCAUCCUUGGUGAGGGGACCUAGGCUGGAUUGCAGGUUCUAGGUAUUUGCCCCACUUCCUGUUGGGGUGGAAGAGAAGGGACAAAACAUCCUCCAUUGCUGUCCAGGAUAGCUCAGAGCAGCUGGCUCUUCCACUUUUUCUCAUGUUCCUGCAGGACCAACGCUGACCAGCUUUCCCCUCCAUAUUUGGAUGCUCAGCAUCUCCCUCAUUUCCAGAGUCCCACAGAGCGCUGGGGCUGGCGGCAUCAGGCCUUUUUUUAUUCUCAAGUCUGAGUCAGGGAUUGUUUUCCUCAAACUUGCAUAGCCAUUGAGCCACACUGAGUCUGUUCUGGAACUCAGAUCCCAUCCUCCUUGAGACAGAGCAGGGAGGGGCAGACGCAAGCCCAGAAAAAACAAUUUCCUUCACGCAGGUGAGAGGUGAGAAUUCCACUGCUGUCAACAAAACAAACCAGAAAAGCUGUGAAAAAUGGUAUGGAGGGAUAUAAAAGCUCCCAGGGUUUGAAGUAGGAGAGGGAGUAACUCAUGUCCACCAUGCCAGCCUGCUGUCUCCUGCCCAGCUGCCUGCCCAGAAAGUUAAGUUCUAGAUCAGACCAAGACCUGAAGUCUCCCACCUCCACGCAGUAGGAUUGGAACCUACAGCCGUCAUCCAUGCUUGCUCCCUCCUCCCCAUCUGCCGUCAAUCACAGCAGUUCCUCAGACCCCUGAC
RNAcentral lists this long non-coding RNA (716 nucleotides) under Marmota monax (woodchuck). Lineage: Eukaryota; Metazoa; Chordata; Mammalia; Rodentia; Sciuridae. The record is from RNAcentral.